RNAcentral lists this transfer RNA (90 nucleotides) under Paenochrobactrum glaciei. RNAcentral describes it as "tRNA-Ser". It matches the Rfam family "tRNA". Rfam says of the family: Transfer RNA (tRNA) molecules are approximately 80 nucleotides in length. Their secondary structure includes four short double-helical elements and three loops (D, anti-codon, and T loops). Further hydrogen bonds mediate the characteristic L-shaped molecular structure. tRNAs have two regions of fundamental functional importance: the anti-codon, which is responsible for specific mRNA codon recognition, and the 3' end, to which the tRNAs corresponding amino acid is attached (by aminoacyl-tRNA synthetases). tRNAs cope with the degeneracy of the genetic code in two manners: having more than one tRNA (with a specific anti-codon) for a particular amino acid; and 'wobble' base-pairing, i.e. permitting non-standard base-pairing at the 3rd anti-codon position. RNAcentral also lists the same sequence under 1 other name. The record is from RNAcentral. Lineage: Bacteria; Pseudomonadati; Pseudomonadota; Alphaproteobacteria; Hyphomicrobiales; Brucellaceae.
GGAGGGGUGGCCGAGUGGUUUAAGGCACCGGUCUUGAAAACCGGCGUGCGGGUGACCGUACCGUGGGUUCGAAUCCCACCCCCUCCGCCA